Molecule: long non-coding RNA, 1255 nt
Organism: Gadus macrocephalus (Pacific cod)
Lineage: Eukaryota; Metazoa; Chordata; Actinopteri; Gadiformes; Gadidae
Exons: 3
Source: RefSeq, a predicted model, not a curated record
CCCUACUUCCGCUGUGUUUCAGGCUUUCCAUCAGUACCGGUUUCUUUUCCAUGACUUUAUUUGUGCACAACGGGUUCAUAAUAAAAGGGGUGAUACAACUAUAGUGGUGGAUAUACGCUGGAUUUUCCCGCUCCUUUCUUGCAUUCCACUGGAUUCAGAGAGGUACGUGUCCACAGCAGUGCAAUGUGAACUUGAAAUAUACCUGUUCUAACUUUAAUUUUAGUGUAUAUGGUAACUUGUAAAUGUAUUUCAAGAUGAGUGGACUUAAAUUUAGUCAUUGUCGAGAACAUUUAUGUUCUGUGAUCUUAGUUGUUAGCUAACCUCGUGGUUUACGCUCGCCAUUCUAUCUUCGUGUAGUAUAGCCCAAAUGUUUCAGUUGUCCUUUUUCUUAUGUUAGGCUGGUUCCUUCCGUGAAGAUAGAGUACUGAAUCUUUGCUCUCGUUGAACGUGUACAGCCUACAGAAUAAAGUGCCAUAAAAGAACGUCAGCGUCCUGUCUUCAGUGCACUGGAACACAACGCAGUAGUCGGCGAUAUGCAGACCGCGCCGGCUACAUUGGUGCCGUGACCCGGAUCUCAUCGCUUCAGAUCAUCGCCAGGGUUAUCGCCGGAGGUUGCAGUAACGAGUAGGAACCUCUUCGGGACGUUGACAAGUACUUGGUCUACUGUUAUUUAAUGUGUAAAUUGUAAUUCUUAAUUGCCUCUAUCUCACCUAGUAUAAUUUUACAUUGUGUUUUUCUUUUGCUUUCUCGAUAUUUGCGUUUGUUCCUUAUUCAUAUAUUAUUACCAUAGUCUAACACAUGACAACCUUUGCAAAAAUGACUGAUGGUAAGGAUGUGCAGAAACCUCUUAGUCGUGGGGAAGCUGUGCUGUUAAGCCUAGGUAGGGGUAGGCUGAUGAGUAGGGUGGAGUGCACGCCGGUUAAAGGGGCUGGUGCACGAGGCAAACCUGUGCUCUCUUCCACACACUAACACACUGAUGCACAUUCCCCCGCACUGCAUAUGCGUAGAUUAGGGGAUGCUUCAGACAUUGGUAGUGGUGUUAGCCCAGUGGCCCGCCCUGUAUUCUCAUACCCUCACACGCAUACAGAUGAACAUUCUCCACGUCAGCCAGUGUCUAGUCCAGAGGCGCGUUCCUCAGACCUAGGGAACCUCAUUACACAAUUAGCAUACGAGAUAGGGGAGAACACUGCUAGCCAACUUAACAGAUCUAUGGGUAGCACAGAUAGUCAGAAAACUCCCACAUCUAGUCUGAAUU